CGUGUCGGCGGUCCGUUAAGUCAACUGUAAAAGAACUCGGCUUAACCGAGUAAAUGCGGGUGAUACUGGCAGACUAGAGUACUGGAGAGAAAGGUAGAAUUCUCGGAGUAGCGGUAAAAUGCGUAGAUCUCGAGAGGAAUACCGGUUGCGAAGGCGGCCUUUUGGCCAGUAACUGACGCUUAAGCGCGAAAGCGUGGGGAGCAAACA
This 207-nucleotide ribosomal RNA is filed under the name uncultured bacterium. RNAcentral's name for it is "partial 16S ribosomal RNA". It matches the Rfam family "Bacterial small subunit ribosomal RNA", at positions 568 to 774 of the family's 1533-position model. The record is from RNAcentral.